RNAcentral lists this ribosomal RNA (454 nucleotides) under uncultured Porphyromonas sp. Its description in RNAcentral is "partial 16S ribosomal RNA". It matches the Rfam family "Bacterial small subunit ribosomal RNA", at positions 341 to 792 of the family's 1533-position model. Lineage: Bacteria; Pseudomonadati; Bacteroidota; Bacteroidia; Bacteroidales; Porphyromonadaceae. The record is from RNAcentral.
ACGGGAGGCAGCAGUGAGGAAUAUUGGUCAAUGGGCGGAAGCCUGAACCAGCCAAGUCGCGUGAAGGAAUACGGCCCUACGGGUCUUAAACUUCUUUUAUAGGGGGAUAAAGUGAGAUACGCGUCUCUUUUUGUAGGUACCCUAUGAAUAAGCAUCGGCUAACUCCGUGCCAGCAGCCGCGGUAAUACGGAGGAUGCGAGCGUUAUCCGGAUUUAUUGGGUUUAAAGGGUGCGCAGGCGGCACGUUAAGUCAGCGGGGAAAGGUCGGGGCUCAACCCGGGCACUGCCGUUGAAACUGGCGAGCUUGAGUACGGAUGAGGUUGGCGGAAUGUGAGGUGUAGCGGUGAAAUGCUUAGAUAUGUCACAGAACACCGAUUGCGAAGGCAGCUGACUAAUCCGCAACUGACGCUCAGGCACGAAAGCGUGGGGAUCGAACAGGAUUAGAUACCCUGGUA